This 263-nucleotide ribosomal RNA is filed under the name uncultured soil bacterium. Its description in RNAcentral is "partial 16S ribosomal RNA". It matches the Rfam family "Bacterial small subunit ribosomal RNA", at positions 26 to 285 of the family's 1533-position model. The record is from RNAcentral.
AGGAUGAACGCUGGCGGCGUGCUUAACACAUGCAAGUCGAGCGAUGAAGGCUGGAGCUUGCUCUGGCUGGAUUAGUGGCGAACGGGUGAGUAACACGUGAGUAACCUGCCCCCGACUCUGGGAUAAGCGCUGGAAACGGCGUCUAAUACCGGAUACGAGCUUCCGCCGCAUGGUGAGGAGCUGGAAAGAAUUUCGGUCUGGGAUGGACUCGCGGCCUAUCAGCUUGUUGGUGAGGUAAUGGCUCACCAAGGCGACGACGGGUA